GAUGAAGAACGUAGCGAAAUGCGAUAAGUAAUGCGAAUUGCAGAAUUCAGUGAAUCAUCGAAUCUUUGAACGCACAUUGCGCCCCUUGGUAUUCCAUGGGGCAUGCCUGUUCGAGCGUCAUUUGUACCUUCAAGCUCUGCUUGGUGUUGGGUGUUUUGUCUCGCCUCCGCGUGUAGACUCGCCUUAAAACAAUUGGCAGCCGGCGUAUUGAUUUCGGAGCGCAGUACAUCUCGCGCUUUGCACUCAUAACGACGACGUCCAAAAGUACAUUUUUACACUCUUGACCUCGGAUCAGGUAGGGAUACCCGCUGAACUUAAGCAUAUCAAUAAGCGGAGGA
This 338-nucleotide unclassified non-coding RNA is filed under the name soil metagenome. Its description in RNAcentral is "partial contains 5.8S ribosomal RNA, internal transcribed spacer 2, and large subunit ribosomal RNA". The stretch from base 1 to 120 matches the Rfam family "5.8S ribosomal RNA", at positions 35 to 154 of the family's 154-position model. The record is from RNAcentral.